RNAcentral lists this long non-coding RNA (513 nucleotides) under Mustela putorius furo (domestic ferret). RNAcentral's name for it is "lncRNA (ENSMPUG00000030935.1)". Lineage: Eukaryota; Metazoa; Chordata; Mammalia; Carnivora; Mustelidae. The record is from RNAcentral.
GUUCUCUUCAGCUCACGGGUGUCGAGUCCCCUAUUUCUUGCAUCUGAUGCCUUUCUCCUUCUUGUUUUUUAGAUCGUCCCCCGCAGCAGCUUCCUACGAAAGAUACACAAGAGCUUUCAGGAUGAUCUCGGACUUGCCUCCGUGAGCAAGAGUCAUGGCCAUAGCGGAGAGAGGGAGCAGCUGAAGGCUCGGCGCUGGGGUGAGCUCAACUUUUCCAUCUCACACCAGGCUGACAACCCUAGGAAGAAAGGGGCACUUUUCUUCCCUUAUUUGUUACCCAGAGGCAUUUAUAUUAAGUUUCUUUUAAAACUGUACUUCGGGGUUUUUUCAACGUCUCCACUAAAGUCUGUCACUGAAGCACAAAGUCCCGUGACAUCAGGGUAAAGACCAUCCCGAGCUCAGGUUCACGAGCCGCCAAGCCUCGUUUCUGCGGGAGCUAAACACAGUCGGGGCGCAGGAGCAGUGGGCCGGGAGCGCGGGAACGUGGGAUGAAGCAGUCAAUCCAUCAGCAAA